AAGUCGUAACAAGGUAACCGUAGGUGAACCUGCGGUUGGAUCAUUAUAAAAUGAUAGCCUGUCGGUCUUAGCGGUCUUAGUGAUCCUUUGACUGAUGGGUCAACUACUUUUGUGCACUGUUUAUUGUAUUUGGGUGGAGAAGUCUGCAGAGAGCUUCGGUUCUCGGUGUUCGACUCUGCCCGCAAAUGUUUAACAACCUAUUAUUUUUUGACUGACUUUGAAUUCUAACGAAUGAAAAACAACUUUUAACAACGGAUCUCUAGGCUCUC
RNAcentral lists this unclassified non-coding RNA (269 nucleotides) under fungal sp. RNAcentral describes it as "partial internal transcribed spacer region". The stretch from base 1 to 46 matches the Rfam family "Eukaryotic small subunit ribosomal RNA", at positions 1786 to 1831 of the family's 1831-position model. Lineage: Eukaryota; Fungi. The record is from RNAcentral.